This 492-nucleotide ribosomal RNA is filed under the name uncultured bacterium. RNAcentral describes it as "partial 16S ribosomal RNA". It matches the Rfam family "Bacterial small subunit ribosomal RNA", at positions 29 to 506 of the family's 1533-position model. The record is from RNAcentral.
ACGCACGCUGGCGGCGCGCUUCACACAUGCCAGUCGAACGGAAAGGCCUGCUUUCCCUUGUGGAUUGCGGGUACUCGAGUGGCGAACGGGUGAGUAACACGUGAGUGAUCUGCCCCCAACUUGGGUAUAAGCCUGGGAAACUGGGUCUAAUUCCCGAUAGGACUGCAGGGUGGUGCCUGUGGUGGAAAACGAUUUUCUAGUGGUUGGGGAUGAGCUCGCGGCCUAUCAGCUUGUUGGUGGGGUAAUGGCCUACCAAGGCGGCGACGGGUAGCCGGCCUGAGAGGGUGGACGGCCACAUUGGGACUGAGAUACGGCCCAGACUCCUACGGGAGGCAGCAGUGGGGAAUAUUGCACAAUGGGCGGAAGCCUGAUGCAGCGACGCCGCGUGGGGGAUGACGGCCUUCGGGUUGUAAACUCCUUUCGACCGCGAGGAAGCCACCUGGUUGGAAGGGUGGUGACGGUAGUCGUAGAAGAAGCACCGGCUAACUACGU